RNAcentral lists this long non-coding RNA (1359 nucleotides) under Homo sapiens (human). RNAcentral's name for it is "HSALNT0314067". Lineage: Eukaryota; Metazoa; Chordata; Mammalia; Primates; Hominidae. The record is from RNAcentral.
UGUCACAAUGCAAGCUUUGUUCUGAAAAAGAAUCUCAUAGAUUUUAUAGGCUCUAGAAGGAGAGUGACAUUCCAAUUUUCUCCCAAUUCUAUUGGAAGGUCAAUCUUAAAUGCUGUAUAGGAGGAUCUCAUUGAGAAGAUAUCAUUUGAGCAAAGAUGUAAAGCAAGGGAGGGAAUGAGUCAGUGGCUACAUAGCGAGAGUGUCCUAGGCAGAGGAAACAGCUUCUACAAAAGCCCUGAAGCAAGAGAAUGUUUGAAGUGUUCAAGAAUAAACAGGAGAUGCAGAAUGAAUGGAAUUGAGAGUGAGUGAGGCAGUCGGAUACAAGAGAGACUAAUAUGGGGCAGCACUGAAGACUGCUGACAGCAGCCACAUGAGUGAGCUCAGAGUGGACACAACAGCCCCUUCAGAGGCUGCAGGGAUGGCAGACAGCCUGACUGCAAUGUCGUGAAAGAUGCUGAGGCAGAACCAUGCAGCAAAGUCAUUCCCAGAUUCCUGACUCUCAGAAAAUGUUGUUACUUUAGAGAAGUCUGAACUUGCCCUUUUUUUCAUCUUUAUGCCUGAGGAAAUUUUUCUUUAUCAUCAAAGAACUCUGAGAAUUGAUGGGCACUGUGUUAGAGCAAGUGGGAAGUAUAGACACAGCUUCCCAUGUUAAGCACGAGCAAGAAGAAAAUAAUUUGAAUGGAAACUAUUCAAAUAUAUCACAGUGAUCAAAGAUUUAAAAGUGGAUGAAAAGAGACAGCUCAAGAACCCAAUUCAGAAGACAGCAUAGCUCAAGGAGUAAGCGGUGAAAACCAGGACUCAAUUCCUGCUCCAUGACUACAUUUGGAACUUCACUGCUGAGUUUCCGGUUCUGCUAGAGCUUCCAAGAAUGGUGGGCUAAAGUCCCUUUCCUCGAUAAUCUCAUUUCUCAUGGUUUUCUACUUAAAGCAAUACUGUCUAUGAAGUGCAACCUGGCUCUUCCUUCUCCCGUAAUCAUUGCCUCUCUGGAUUUUCCUUCUUCCAAGACUCCCUUUCCUGAUUCCCUUUAACACCCCUUUCAUAAUUCACAUCCAGAGAGUUCUCUGCAAUCACCUACCCAUCCCAAUCUCCAUUAUUUAUUUCAUGUUAUUACCUUUCACAAUUCAUAUAGUAAAUGUUACUUAGAACAGAGGCUGCUCUAGUGUUUCAUUGAUUUGUCUCAUUUUAUUUCUGGUCAUUGAAUGGCACAGUGAUAUCACAUGAGGUUGGACAGAGUUAUUUUCCAUCGCCAUCAUAAAGCUUUAUGACUAUAAGUGGGUUUGUCUUUUACCAGUUCACUGUCUUCCUCUAAAGAUGGUCUCUCCUAUCUCUUGCGUAGGACGCACUAAUCACUAAUGUCCC